AGUCCCGGGGUGGCCGCCACGCCAAAGUGCAAAUUUGGAGCAGCACCCCAAAAAGGUGCCGGGGCUU
RNAcentral lists this transfer RNA (67 nucleotides) under Teratoscincus roborowskii. RNAcentral's name for it is "tRNA-Cys". Lineage: Eukaryota; Metazoa; Chordata; Lepidosauria; Squamata; Sphaerodactylidae. The record is from RNAcentral.